CGCCUGUAUCCUGGUAGGUCUAUGUGGUCUAAUGGAUAUGAUACUCGCCUUGCAGUUUGGAAUCUCACCAGAGACACGUUUUCAUACAACUAUUUUAGAUUGAUACGAUUAAAUAUACAAUCAUUUUUUGUUUGUUUUUGUUUUGUUUUUUUUGGAAAGCUAUCCAUUUACAGUAGGCCUAUCAUUAAAACAAUAGGCCUAUACGUAUUGUAUGCUAAGGAUGCAAGAAAAGUAUAUGACCUGGGUAAAGAAAAUCCCCCACGUCUCCUUCUGCAGUGCCGCCAUUACUGUGAACUCUCUUGGCUCAGAAAUCGACGCGGAAAUGGUUCCAAUUCGUGACCUGGUAAGUCAUUAUGAAUACAUUUUGAUAGCAAUAACGUAUUUUAUUGUGACGUAGAUCCGUUUAUUACUGCUGUAUGAGUAUUAGCUUACAGUCGAACGAGCCAAUCAUUGUUCAACACGUUCCUCAACACAACGCAAGCACAAAUCGACACUACAGUAGGCCUACAUUUCCGAAGACCAUUUAGUUUUAAAAGAUAUUUCACUAUUCGACACGAUCAAUACGAACGUCACAAACCAUCGAUAACCAUGGACCUUCUAGAAGAUCAAAACAAAUUAGUACAGGCUAUAGAGAGAGAGGACUGGCCAGCAGUAACAAACAUUCUUGAAAAUGAACCUCAUCUUAUUGAAACGCAGGAUAAGG
This is a long non-coding RNA of Anneissia japonica, 703 nucleotides long. RefSeq lists it as uncharacterized. The transcript has 3 exons. The record is from RefSeq and is a predicted model, not a curated record. Lineage: Eukaryota; Metazoa; Echinodermata; Crinoidea; Comatulida; Comatulidae.